Molecule: long non-coding RNA, 202 nt
Filed under: Lathyrus oleraceus (garden pea)
Lineage: Eukaryota; Viridiplantae; Streptophyta; Magnoliopsida; Fabales; Fabaceae
Description: Pisum sativum (pea) long non-coding RNA (PSAT_LNC003888)
Source: RNAcentral
UGAGAGUGGAAACGAUUGAGGAGGACGGAAAAAUCGGAGGCGACCACAAAACGAAAACCCUAAUUCGAAAAACAAAAACCUAAUUCUAAAACGGCAGAAAUCCAGAAGAGAAGAAGGGAGUUGUAGCAAGAAAAUCAAUAUUUCCAACUGAAAAGCUUCUGUGGGAGUUCGUGGAAAUCACCGCCGAAGGUGAGCUCUGUUU